This 16-nucleotide small RNA is filed under the name Arabidopsis thaliana (thale cress). Its description in RNAcentral is "ATSL132640". The record is from RNAcentral. Lineage: Eukaryota; Viridiplantae; Streptophyta; Magnoliopsida; Brassicales; Brassicaceae.
CUUUUCCUUUUUUUUU